GAGCACGUAGGUGGGUUUGUAAGUCAGAUGUGAAAGCCUUCUGUUCAACGGAAGAAUUGCAUCUGAAACUGCAAACCUUGAGUGUAGGAGGGGAGAAUGGAACUUCUGGUGGAGCGGUGAAAUGCGUAGAUAUCAGAAGGAACACCGGCGGCGGAAGCGAUUCUCUAGCCUAUAACUGACACUGAGUGUGCGAAAGCUAGGGGAGCAAACGGGAUUAGAUACCCCGGUAGUCCUAGCCGUAAACGAUGGGCACUAAGUAGAGGGGUUU
RNAcentral lists this ribosomal RNA (268 nucleotides) under uncultured bacterium. Its description in RNAcentral is "partial large subunit ribosomal RNA". It matches the Rfam family "Bacterial small subunit ribosomal RNA", at positions 565 to 831 of the family's 1533-position model. The record is from RNAcentral.